This 751-nucleotide ribosomal RNA is filed under the name Axea sp. OSUC 510620. RNAcentral's name for it is "partial 28S ribosomal RNA". It matches the Rfam family "Eukaryotic large subunit ribosomal RNA", at positions 437 to 931 of the family's 3401-position model. The record is from RNAcentral. Lineage: Eukaryota; Metazoa; Arthropoda; Insecta; Hymenoptera; Scelionidae.
AACCCGAAAGAUCGAAUGAGGAGAUUCAUCGUCAGCGGAGUCGAUUUACUUGUGGUUUGCGAUUGCAAUAACCGUUACGCUACCACUGUUGUAUAUUCGAUUACGUCGGCGUGCACUUCUCCUCUAGUAGAACGUCGCGACCCGCUGGGUGUCGGUUUAAGGGCCGAGAUCGUCGACUGUACCGUAACACGUACGUGUUCGGUGCAGACGCUUGGACUCCCGACCGACUGCUCGGCGGUAAACGUAAGGUAUUGAGCCGCACUUGAAUGCGUUCAGGCUCGUCGCAAGCUCGAUCAUUAUCCUGGAGGUGCGGACCUAGCGCCGUCCCCGGGGAUGCUUGGCUGUUGGCAGACGAUGUCCUCGAACUGGCUUAAAAUUGAACGUUAAGAUCAAUACCGGUCGGCGACGCUAUUGCUUUGGGUAUUUUCAGGACCCGUCUUGAAACACGGACCAAGGAGUCUAACAUGUGCGCGAGUCAUUGGGAUGAAUAAAACCUAAAGGCGAAUUGAAAGAGAAGAUCGGCUUUACGUCGGUCGAGGGAGGAUGGGCUAACGUUUCCAUGUUGCCUCGCACUCCCGGGGCGUCUCUUAAAGUCAUUGCGACUUGAGGCGCACCAAGAGCGUACACGUUGGGACCCGAAAGAUGGUGAACUAUGCCUGGUCAGGACGAAGUCAGGGGAAACCCUGAUGGAGGUCCGUAGCGAUUCUGACGUGCAAAUCGAUCGUCGGAACUGGGUAUAGGGGCGAAAGAC